This 468-nucleotide ribosomal RNA is filed under the name uncultured bacterium. RNAcentral describes it as "bacterial SSU rRNA". It matches the Rfam family "Bacterial small subunit ribosomal RNA", at positions 67 to 548 of the family's 1533-position model. The record is from RNAcentral.
CGGAGUUGAGAGAGCUUGCUUUUUCAGCUUAGUGGCGAACGGGUGAGUAACACGUGAGUAACCUGCCCCAGAGUGGGGGACAACAGUUGGAAACGACUGCUAAUACCGCAUAAGCCCACGGUACCGCAUGGUACAGAGGGAAAAGGAGCAAUUCGCUUUGGGAUGGACUCGCGUCCGAUUAGCUAGAUGGUGAGGUAACGGCCCACCAUGGCGACGAUCGGUAGCCGGACUGAGAGGUUGAUCGGCCACAUUGGGACUGAGACACGGCCCAGACUCCUACGGGAGGCAGCAGUGGGGAAUAUUGCACAAUGGGGGAAACCCUGAUGCAGCGACGCCGCGUGGAGGAAGAAGGUCUUCGGAUUGUAAACUCCUGUUGUCGGGGACGAUAAUGACGGUACCCGACAAGAAAGUGACGGCUAACUACGUGCCAGCAGCCGCGGUAAAACGUAGGUCACAAGCGUUGUCCGG